UGUGUAGCUCGCAUGGAUGUCCAGCGAGGGACCAACAGUCAAGACCGGCCUCGGCAGAUCAAGAACCAUGAGACCAAAAAAACAAAGAUAGAGGUUGCCCACGAGGUCAUUUACAACCUCUUUUUAGGCAUACAGAAGUUGGCACACAAGGUGUUCUAGGAUCUGCCCGGUACUGCGGUGAUGUAUGAUCUUUGUUAGAUUACAUACCAUAUACGUAUGACAUUUAUGUGAAAGAACGUGGUACAAAAGUGGUUUCCUGGCAUAAGUGUUGUUCAAUGUCAGAAUAUAUAUAUAGCCUUGUAAGCUUGCCACUGGUGUUUUAAAAUAUUAAAUUAGGCCAAACUAUAAUGCUACACACUCUUUCCUCCUUUGAGCAUGGAAAGACAUAC
Molecule: non-coding RNA, 389 nt
Organism: Triticum urartu
Lineage: Eukaryota; Viridiplantae; Streptophyta; Magnoliopsida; Poales; Poaceae
Source: RefSeq, a predicted model, not a curated record